Molecule: long non-coding RNA, 413 nt
Organism: Photinus pyralis (common eastern firefly)
Lineage: Eukaryota; Metazoa; Arthropoda; Insecta; Coleoptera; Lampyridae
Exons: 2
Source: RefSeq, a predicted model, not a curated record
UGCUAGUUUUCAGACGAAACGCAUAGUUUAGUUUCUUUGAAAGUUUGCUACUAACUAUGAAAACGUUCUGGGUACUUUUGGCAGUGGCUUUUGCCACACUUUUGGAGAUCGAAUCAGCGGCACCGAGAUGCGUUUGCACAUGUACUCACAAAGUGUGUACUACCAUGAUUCAUCCAGCUGCGACGUGUUUAAAUUUUGCUACGCCCUGUUGCACUGGAUAUGUACCUGACGGUGACUGGUCACAUUGUAUUUUAACUUAGUCAGUGCCAUUAACUUUUACCUUCGCCAAAGCAAUUCCUUCCGGUUAGAUUUAACAAAAAAGUGAACUGACCCUAUACCUAUGGGUUGUAAAUACCCUCAAUAGUGUACAAUUACAAUAGAAGCAUUAAAUAUUUUUGUUUCUACUAUUCUUA